GGGUUCUACCGUUGGUCAGGCAAUAGUCUGUACUGGCGUGUGGAAUUUCUACCUUCUGGGGAACCAUCAUGUUAUUAAUUUAGUGUGGUGGGAAACCAGGACCUUUACCUUGAAAAAUUAAGAGUGUUCAAAGCAGGCUUACGUCUGAAUACAUUAGCAUGGAAUAAUAAAAUAGGACGGUGGUCCUGUUUUGUUGGUUUCUGGGUCACCGUAAUGAUUA
This 220-nucleotide ribosomal RNA is filed under the name uncultured fungus. RNAcentral describes it as "partial 18S ribosomal RNA". The stretch from base 44 to 220 matches the Rfam family "Eukaryotic small subunit ribosomal RNA", at positions 691 to 871 of the family's 1831-position model. Lineage: Eukaryota; Fungi. The record is from RNAcentral.